This 375-nucleotide ribosomal RNA is filed under the name uncultured eukaryote. Its description in RNAcentral is "partial 18S ribosomal RNA". It matches the Rfam family "Eukaryotic small subunit ribosomal RNA", at positions 592 to 976 of the family's 1831-position model. The record is from RNAcentral.
CAAUAGCGUAUAUUUAAGUUGUUGCAGUUAAAAAGCUCGUAGUUGGAUUUCGGUUAAGAGCGACCGGUCCGCCGUUUGGUGUGCACUGGUUGGUUUUAACUUCCUGUAGAGGACGUGCUCUGGGUUUAACGACCUGGACUCGGAGUCUACGUGGUUACUUUGAAAAAAUUAGAGUGUUCAAAGCGGGCUUACGCUUGAAUAUUUCAGCAUGGAAUAACACUAUAGGACUCCUGUCCUAUUUCGUUGGUCUCGGGACGGGAGUAAUGAUUAAGAGGAACAGUUGGGGGCAUUCGUAUUUCAUUGUCAGAGGUGAAAUUCUUGGAUUUAUGAAAGACGAACUUCUGCGAAAGCAUCUGCCAUGGAUGUUUUCAUUGA